UGGGGAAUCUUGGACAAUGGGCGCAAGCCUGAUCCAGCCAUGCCGCGUGAGUGAAGAAGGUCUUCGGAUUGUAAAGCUCUUUUACCAGGGACGAUAAUGACGGUACCUGGAGAAUAAGCCCCGGCAAACUUCGUGCCAGCAGCCGCGGUAAUACGAAGGGGGCUAGCGUUGUUCGGAAUUACUGGGCGUAAAGCGCACGUAGGCGGGCUAUUAAGUCAGGGUGAAAUCCCGGAGCUCAACUCCGGAACUG
RNAcentral lists this ribosomal RNA (250 nucleotides) under uncultured bacterium. Its description in RNAcentral is "partial 16S ribosomal RNA". It matches the Rfam family "Bacterial small subunit ribosomal RNA", at positions 355 to 623 of the family's 1533-position model. The record is from RNAcentral.